CCGGACCGGCGCACGGUGAGUAACACGUAUGCAAUCCACCUGUAACAGGGGGAGUAACCCGGAGAAAUCCGGACUAAUACCCCAUAAUAUGGGCGCUCCGCAUGGAGGGUUCAUUAAAGAGAGCAAUUUUGGUUACAGACGAGCAUGCGCUCCAUUAGCCAGUUGGCGGGGUAACGGCCCACCAAGGCGACGAUGGAUAGGGGUUCUGAGAGGAAGGUCCCCCACAUUGGAACUGAGACACGGUCCAA
This 248-nucleotide ribosomal RNA is filed under the name uncultured bacterium. Its description in RNAcentral is "partial 16S ribosomal RNA". It matches the Rfam family "Bacterial small subunit ribosomal RNA", at positions 90 to 334 of the family's 1533-position model. The record is from RNAcentral.